UCAACCCCUCAAGCUCCCGGGCUUGGUGUUGGACUUUUAGGUGUAUGGAUGAUCUUGUCAUCUCACCGGUCCCAAAGGCAACGACGGCGUCGGUUGGACCCUCGGUACACUGAGCUUUUCAAGCACGUACUGGCUGCGGUUGACGGGCGCGAGUCUUUCUUUUAUUUCUUCAA
Molecule: unclassified non-coding RNA, 173 nt
Filed under: uncultured Chaetothyriales
Lineage: Eukaryota; Fungi; Ascomycota; Eurotiomycetes; Chaetothyriales
Description: sequence contains ITS2
Source: RNAcentral